AAUGAACGCUGGCGGCAGGCCUAACACAUGCAAGUCGAACGGCAGCACCGGCAUAGCUCGCUCAGACGGGCGGAGGGUGGCGGAACGUGGAGGCAAGCUACGGAAUACACUCGUUCGGGGGGGAUAACGUAGGGUAACUUACCCUAAUAACGCAUACGACCCAUGUGUGAUAGCAUGGGAUCUUCACGCUUUGCGCGAGGCAAUCAGCCGAUGUCGUUUUAGCUAGUUGGCGGGGUAAAGGCACACAAAAGCGACGAUGCGUAGGGGGCCUGAGAGGAAGGUCAGCCACCCUGUAACUGAGCCACGGUCCAGACUCCUACGCGAGGCAGCAGUGGGGAAUAUUGGACAAUGGGCGAAAGGCUGAUCCGGCACUACCGCGUGAGUGAUGAAGGACCUCGGGUUGGAAAGCCAUUUUGUUGGGAGCGAAGAACAGCCGGUUAAUACGGCGGUAUAAUGACGGUACCGAAAGAAUAAGCACCGGCUAACUCCGUG
This 492-nucleotide ribosomal RNA is filed under the name uncultured bacterium. RNAcentral describes it as "partial 16S ribosomal RNA". It matches the Rfam family "Bacterial small subunit ribosomal RNA", at positions 29 to 507 of the family's 1533-position model. The record is from RNAcentral.